GACGAACGCUGGCGGCGUGCUUAACACAUGCAAGUCGUACGGUAAGGCCCUUUCGGGGGUACACGAGUGGCGAACGGGUGAGUAACACGUGAGUAACCUGCCCACAACUUUGGGAUAACGCUAGGAAACUGGUGCUAAUACUGGAUAUGUGCUCCUGCUGCAUGGUGGGGGUUGGAAAGCUCCGGCGGUUGUGGAUGGACUCGCGGCCUAUCAGCUUGUUGGUGGGGUAGUGGCCUACCAAGGCGGCGACGGGUAGCCGGCCUGAGAGGGUGACCGGCCACAUUGGGACUGAGAUACGGCCCAGACUCCUACGGGGGGCAGCAGUGGGGAAGAUUGCACAAUGGGCGCAAGCCUGAUGCAGCAACGCCGCGUGCGGGAUGACGGCCUUCGGGUUGUAAACCGCUUUCAGCAGGGACGAAGCUUUUUGUGACGGUACCUGCAGAAGAAGCACCGGCUAACUACGUG
Molecule: ribosomal RNA, 465 nt
Filed under: uncultured bacterium
Lineage: Bacteria
Description: partial 16S ribosomal RNA
Rfam family: Bacterial small subunit ribosomal RNA
Source: RNAcentral